GACGAACGCUGGCGGCGUGCCUAAUACAUGCAAGUCGAACGAGUGGCGGACGGGUGAGUAAUGUCUGGGCAACUGCCUGAUGGAGGGGGAUAACUACUGGAAACGGUAGCUAAUACCGCAUACCAUCAGAUGUGCCCAGCUGGGAUGAGCUUGUUGGUGGGGUAACGGCUCACCAAGGGGACGACCCCUAGCUGGUCUGAGAGGAUGACCAGCCACACGGGAACUGAGAAACGGUCCAGACGCCUACGGGAGGAAGCAGGGGGGAAUAGUGCACAAUGGGGGCAAGCCUGAGGCAGCCAGGCCGCGUGUAUGAAGCGGGCCUUCGGGUUGUAAAGUACUUUCAGCGGGGAGGCGUUACCCGCAGAAGAAGCACCGGCUAACUCCGUGCCAGCAGCCGCGGUAAUAC
This 406-nucleotide ribosomal RNA is filed under the name uncultured bacterium. Its description in RNAcentral is "partial 16S ribosomal RNA". It matches the Rfam family "Bacterial small subunit ribosomal RNA", at positions 28 to 526 of the family's 1533-position model. The record is from RNAcentral.